CCUACGGGAGGCUGCAGUGGGGAAUAUUGCACAAUGGGGGAAACCCUGAUGCAGCGACGCCGCGUGAGGGAAGAAGUAUCUCGGUAUGUAAAGCUCUAUCAGCAGGGAAGAAAAUGACGGUACCUGAUUAAGAAGCCCCGGCUAACUACGUGCCAGCAUCCGCGGUAAUACGUAGGGGGGAAGCGUUAUCCGGAUUUACUGGGUGUAAAGGGAGCGUAGACGGCAAGGCAAGGCAGAAGGGAAAGGGGAGGGCUCAACCCUGGACAUGCCUUUGGAACUGUGGUGCUAGAGUGCAGGAGAGGUAAGUGGAAUUCGUGGUGUAGCGGUGAAAUGCGUAGAUAUCACGAGGAACACCAGUGGCGAAGGCGGCUUACUGGAGUGUAACUGACGUUGAGGCUCGAAAGUGUGGGGAGCAAACAGGAUUAGAUACCCCUGUAGUC
This 440-nucleotide ribosomal RNA is filed under the name uncultured bacterium. RNAcentral describes it as "partial 16S ribosomal RNA". It matches the Rfam family "Bacterial small subunit ribosomal RNA", at positions 338 to 795 of the family's 1533-position model. The record is from RNAcentral.